Molecule: ribosomal RNA, 450 nt
Filed under: uncultured bacterium
Lineage: Bacteria
Description: partial 16S ribosomal RNA
Rfam family: Bacterial small subunit ribosomal RNA
Source: RNAcentral
GUGGGGAAUCUUCCGCAAUGGACGAAAGUCUGACGGAGCAACGCCGCGUGAGUGAUGAAGGUCUUCGGAUUGUAAAGCUCUGUUAAUCGGGACGAAAGAGCCUAGUGUGAAUAAUGCUAGGAAGUGACGGUACCGGAAUAGAAAGCCACGGCUAACUACGUGCCAGCAGCCGCGGUAAUACGUAGGUGGCAAGCGUUGUCCGGAAUUAUUGGGCGUAAAGCGCGCGCAGGCGGAUCUGCCAGUCUGUCUUAAAAGUUCGGGGCUUAACCCCGUGAUGGGAUGGACACUACAGAUCUAGAGUAUCGGAGAGGAAAGUUGAAGUCCUAGUGUAGCGGUGAAAUGCGUAGAUAUUAGGAAGAACACCAGUGGCGAAGGCGACUUUCUGGACGAAAACUGACGCUGAGGCGCGAAAGCCAGGGGAGCGAACGGGAUUAGAAACCCGAGUAGUCC